Molecule: non-coding RNA, 1307 nt
Organism: Paramuricea clavata
Lineage: Eukaryota; Metazoa; Cnidaria; Anthozoa; Malacalcyonacea; Plexauridae
Source: the annotation of a GenBank genome assembly
AGAUUGCUGUUGUAUACAGACCAGAGGAGCAAGAUCAGCCUGCAGUUACGAAAGCUGCAGUCCCAGUAGCAAAACGUAUGUUGGAACAUUAACCACGCAGCGAAAAAACUAAAUCUAAAAUAACUUACUUAUACUAAAUAACUCUAUCAGUUCUAAACUGUUCUUUCUAGAGUUCCAUUAUGGAUCAUCCCUUAUUGAUCCAGUUUCACCACAGGAGAAAACCUAAACUAAACUAACUCUAUGUAUACUGGAUAAGAAAACUGUUCUUCCUAGAGGCUCAGUAAGGGUCAUCUCUUAUUGAUCUAGUGUUACUACAGGAGAAACCUAAACUAAACUAACUUUAUUUAUACUGGAUAUCCCUAAUAGUUCUAAACUGUUCUUCCUAGAGUUCCAGUAAGGGUCAUCUAUUAUUGAUCUAGUGUUACUACAGGAGAAACCUACACUAAACUAACUUUAUUUAUACUGGAUAGCUCUAUCAGUUCUAAACUAUUUUUCCUAAAUGUCCAGUGAGGGUCAUCUCUUAUUGAUCUAGUGUUACUACAGGAGGAAACCUAAACUAAACUAACUUUAUUUAUAAUGGAUAGCUCUACCAGUUCUACACUAUUUUUCCUAAAGGUCCAGUAAAGAUCGUCUCUUCUUGAUCCAGUGUUAAUGGACCUCUAGGUAGAACAGUUAGAACUAUUAGGGAUAUCCAGUAUAGAUAAAGGCAGUUUAGUUUCUGAUUUUAACUUUUCGUAUUUUUAGCACUAUGCGAAGACAUAUGUCAACAUCGAUGCCUCCAGUCUUGUCACAUCGCGUGUUGUGUUCCCGAUCUUACUCCGACGAUGCGCGACGUCAUCGCGAGGCGGAUGGAAAAGAGUGAAACGAAGCACGAUCACAAGAAGAAAUGUCCAAAGCGAUGCAAGAAAUCGUGUGAUCCGUCCUGCGACUUUGUGUGUUGUUUACCAGAUAAACAAAGAAGAAAAUAUAAGAAUUAUGUCUAGAUAAUUAUGAUGCUUAACCAAUGACGGACAGAAGCACAGGGGGGGGGGGAGGGACGUGUUGUAUAAUGGACAGAUUUAGAGAACAUGACGCAAACUGAAAGGCGCGCCUUCGAAAAAAGAAAUUCAUGCAAAACAAAACGUUUGAAUAAUUUGUGGUACCAGGAGUAUCCUCAAAAGCGUCGAGACUGGUCUUCUACUACAGUAUACACUUGUUUGGUUAUACUCAGGUGCAUGCCUGGCCUUACCUGCAAGGAGGGGUGCAGGUUUUCCAUGAGGGAGCCUCACUGCCCACUCUCCUCUGCAGUCUGUAACGUUACUAUCCCA